This is a long non-coding RNA of Helianthus annuus (common sunflower), 1988 nucleotides long. RefSeq lists it as uncharacterized. The transcript is spliced from 6 exons. NCBI's taxonomy places the organism in Eukaryota, Viridiplantae, Streptophyta, Magnoliopsida, Asterales, Asteraceae. The record is from RefSeq and is a predicted model, not a curated record.
UGUUCUAAACCCUAGCCUCUCCAUCCUUCUUCUUUCGCCGGCGCUUCUCAUCGUGCCCUUGCCCUGAAACCUUCCUUCCCCUUUGUUGUUCUACUUCAUCAUCUUUCUUUUAUUCUCGGUGAACUAUGACAUCUCUUCAAAUCACUGACCUUUAUCUUCAAGUAACAACCAUUAUCUAAUCGAUUCACACAAAAACCCUAACCUCUUCAUUUAAAUGCAACUCUUUACCCUUCUAAUCGGCGGCUAUGUACAAUCUGUUCCGAAUCAAACUCCAAUUUCUUCAUGUCAAGGAAAAUCAUUUUUUUUUUCUCCGGAUAGUAUGACUUCGCUUCCAUGGGAUGAUCGGAAAUCGAAAUCGGUGGCUUGGAUGAAAAGAGCGAAGGGAAUUUGGCGAUUUCGAAGAACAGUUCACGGUAUCUCUUACAUCAACGCUGAAAGAUGCGAAGAUAAUACUGGGUUCUUCUUCAAUGGCUCGUAGAAAAAUCUUACAGGAGAUGGGCUUUGAUUUCACAGUUAUGGUCAGUCAUGAUGAGAUAUACACUAACUAAUUGUUAUACAGUUUGAUGACUAUUUGGGCUCAAAUGCCUAUGGGUUUUGUUUGGUUUCUAAAAAUGAACACCAUUUGGUUGUAGAGUUUAAAUUUUAUGGAUUCUUACAGUAAUGAGAAUUGAGUUUUGAUUUCAACAGUAGUUAAGUUUGUUAAUAUAUUCAGUUAGUACAUAACCCCCUUGAUGUACAAUAUCUCUUUUUUUUAAAGAAAGCAAUUUUUAACCAACCUGAUCCGACCCGAAACCCAUUCUGACCCGGACCCGUUUCAACCCGAACCUGUUCCGACCCGAACCCAUUCUUGCUUAGUUUUGCUGACCUGGCUGCUAGCAGCCCCACCCCGUAUACGAGAUCCGAUAUCACACCAUCGGUAAGAAUUCUCGGUUUAAAAGCAUUCGUCAGUUUAAAAUAUGUAUUAUUUACCAGAGGUUGUUAUUUACAGGAUACGUGAGGUAUUAUAUUGGAAGAAGUAGACACCCUUGUGUGGAAGCUCAAGAUUGGGUGAAUUUUAUACCAAACGACUGCAAACUUUAGGUGAGGGGAAAGAGUUGGUUUCAAAUUAUCACCGGGCCUAACAUGGGAGGAAAAUCCACAUUUAUACGCCAGGUUGAAGAAGAUAGAAUAUGGAGGUGGCAAGAUGGUCGGGUUGAAAACAAAAUAUCCAGGUUGGUUGAAGAAAUCUUUAACGAUUUGUGAUUUUUUCUCAUUCAUGUAUUUCAAUUAUUUAGUGUACUCUAAUAUUUGCAUUAGUAGUUUAACAUUUAUAUAAUUAAAAUAUUUGUGUCAAAUUUUAGACAAGUGUUUUGUUUUAAGUUGUUGUUUAUGUGUGUAAAUGCCUUUAAUAUGGGGACUAUUUCCUGUUAAUGUUAUAUCACAAUAAUAAGAAAAUGUUGUUUGUUUUUUGAACUAGGGCUGAUGUUUGAAUGUUUGGAACUACUUACUGCAUUUAAAAUGAAUUUGUACAUAUUUUUGAAUGUUUUGGAACUACUUACUGCAUUGAAUUUAAUAGCAAGUACUGGUGUACUGGAAAUAGUAUAAUAGUGAUGUGAAGUUUACAACAAGAAAAAGUUUAAGAAACCGAAUUAAAAAGUGUGAUGAAGAUAAGGGAAAAAGAAUACUUUAGAGGUUAAAAGUGUUUUUUAUAUACUUUUAUUUAUUGUAAAUUAAAUUUUUCUACCCGAAAAGUUUGAUGUGGAAAGUUUUUGUUAUGUUUUUACUUAGGUCAUGUGUGGCUUCAUGUACAAUUACUUGGUUUAGGUAGCAUUGGGUCAGGUUUGGUAAUCGGGUUUCGGUUAAAAAGGUAAAAACAUAAGUGCCUUUAUUUCUUUGGGAUUAUGGUAAAAAAAGUGGUUUGGCUCAACUCAUUUAUUCAUAAGUGCUUUGGCUUAACCGGUACCGUAUCGCAUAGCAUAGAGGUGCACAUGUAAAGAAAAGGAGGGAGG